GCUGCUUCUCUCCUUGUGCCCUUUCGCUCGUUCAGAUUUAUCCUUGUACACCAGCAUGAGUAAACAGUCUGCCACCGGGGAGGGCUUGCGCAGCACCAGCCACCUACUCUUCCACUUUUUUCCAUCUCUCAACUUGACGUGACCCUCCACCACCACGGAAUCCGUCAUCUUCAGUCAUGAUUCCGGACAGCUGCGCCCGGCUCGCUGCUCCCUCCCCGCGCUCUGGCCGAG
This 231-nucleotide long non-coding RNA is filed under the name Gallus gallus (chicken). The record is from RNAcentral. Lineage: Eukaryota; Metazoa; Chordata; Aves; Galliformes; Phasianidae.